CCCUUAGAUGUCCUGGGCCGCACGCGCGCUACACUGACUGGUGCAACAAGUGUCUGACCUUGGCUCGAGAGGCCUGGGCAACCUUUGAACGCCAGUCGUGCUGGGGAUAGAUUCUUGCAAUUAUUAAUCUUCAACGAGGAAUGCCUAGUAAGCGCAAGUCAUCAGCUUGCGUUGAUUACGUCCCUGCCCUUUGUACACACCGCCCGUCGCUCCUACCGAUUGAAUGGUCCGGUGAAGCGUUCGGACCGUGGCCUUUGGACGGUUCGCCGUCUGUUGGCUGCGGGAAGUUCGUUAAACCUUAUCAUUUAGAGGAAGGAGAANUCGUAACA
Molecule: ribosomal RNA, 329 nt
Filed under: uncultured eukaryote
Lineage: Eukaryota
Description: partial 18S ribosomal RNA
Rfam family: Eukaryotic small subunit ribosomal RNA
Source: RNAcentral